RNAcentral lists this ribosomal RNA (402 nucleotides) under bacterium. RNAcentral describes it as "partial 16S ribosomal RNA". It matches the Rfam family "Bacterial small subunit ribosomal RNA", at positions 355 to 776 of the family's 1533-position model. The record is from RNAcentral.
UGGGGAAUUUUGCACAAUGGGGGAAACCCUGAUGCAGCGACGCCGCGUGAUUUAGAAGGCCUUCGGGUUGUAAAAAUCUUUUCUAUGGGAAGAAAAUGACAGUACCAUAGGAAUAAGGACCGGCUAAUUACGUGCCAGCAGCCGCGGUAAUACGUAAGGUCCGAGCGUUGUCCGGAAUCAUUGGGCGUAAAGGGUACGUAGGCGGGUAAGGAAGUUAGAAGUGAAAUCCUAUAGCUCAACUAUAGUAAGCUUUUAAAACUGCUCAUCUUGAGGUAUGGAAGGGAAAGUGGAAUUCCUAGUGUAGCGGUGAAAUGCGCAGAUAUUAGGAGGAAUACCGGUGGCGAAGGCGACUUUCUGGCCAUAACCUGACGCUGAGGUACGAAAGCGUGGGUAGCAAACAGG